RNAcentral lists this ribosomal RNA (531 nucleotides) under Brevundimonas vancanneytii. RNAcentral describes it as "bacterial SSU rRNA". It matches the Rfam family "Bacterial small subunit ribosomal RNA", at positions 381 to 925 of the family's 1533-position model. The record is from RNAcentral. Lineage: Bacteria; Pseudomonadati; Pseudomonadota; Alphaproteobacteria; Caulobacterales; Caulobacteraceae.
GCCUGACGCAGCCAUGCCGCGUGAAUGAUGAAGGUCUUAGGAUUGUAAAAUUCUUUCACCGGGGACGAUAAUGACGGUACCCGGAGAAGAAGCCCCGGCUAACUUCGUGCCAGCAGCCGCGGUAAUACGAAGGGGGCUAGCGUUGCUCGGAAUUACUGGGCGUAAAGGGCGCGUAGGCGGAUCGUUAAGUCAGAGGUGAAAUCCCAGGGCUCAACCCUGGAACUGCCUUUGAUACUGGCGAUCUUGAGUAUGAGAGAGGUAUGUGGAACUCCGAGUGUAGAGGUGAAAUUCGUAGAUAUUCGGAAGAACACCAGUGGCGAAGGCGACAUACUGGCUCAUUACUGACGCUGAGGCGCGAAAGCGUGGGGAGCAAACAGGAUUAGAUACCCUGGUAGUCCACGCCGUAAACGAUGAUUGCUANUUGUCNGGCUGCAUGCAGUUCGGUGACGCAANCUAACGCAUUAAGCCAAUCCGCCUGGGGAANUACGGUCGCCNNGAUUAAAACUCAAAAGGAAUUGACGGGGGCCCCGC